CUAGUUUCAUGGAGCAACGCCGCGUGAGUGGAGAAGGCUUUCGGGUCGUAAAACUCUGUUGUUGGAGAAGAAUGGUCGGCAGAGUAACUGUUGUCGGCGUUACGGUAUCCAACCAGAAAGCCACGGCUUACUACGUGCCAGCAGCCGCGGUAAUACGUAGGUGGCAAGCGUUAUCCGGAUUUAUUGGGCGUAAAGCGAGCGCAGGCGGUUUUUUAAGUCUGAUGUGAAUAGCCCUCGGCUUAACCGAGGAAGCGCAUCGGAAACUGGGAAACUUGAGUGCAGAAGAGGAGCAGUGGAGAGCUCCCAUGUCGUCAGCUUCGUGCUCUUCA
Molecule: ribosomal RNA, 329 nt
Filed under: Lacticaseibacillus casei
Lineage: Bacteria; Bacillati; Bacillota; Bacilli; Lactobacillales; Lactobacillaceae
Description: bacterial SSU rRNA
Rfam family: Bacterial small subunit ribosomal RNA
Source: RNAcentral